CUUGGUCAUUUAGAGGAAGUAAAAGUCGUAACAAGGUUUCCGUAGGUGAACCUGCGGAAGGAUCAUUAUCGUACAAAAUGUGUGAGGCAUGCAAGGGCUGUCGCUGACUUUUUAAUCACAAAAAGUCGUGCACGCCGGAGCGUGUCCUCUCGCAUAAAAUCCAUCUCACCCUUUUGUGCACCACCGCGUGGGCACCCUUUGGGAUCGAACCGAUCCAGGAGGGCGCUUGCGUUUUCACACAAACCCCCUUAUAAAAGUGUAGAAUGACCCCAUUUUUGCGAUAACACGCAAUCAAUACAACUUUCAACAACGGAUCUCUUGGCUCUCGCAUCGAUGAAGAACGCAGCGAAAUGCGAUACGUAAUGUGAAUUGCAGAAUUCAGUGAAUCAUCGAAUCUUUGAACGCACCUUGCGCCCCUUGGUAUUCCGAGGGGCACACCCGUUUGAGUGUCGUGAAAAUCUCAACCUCCUCGGUUUCUUCUGGACGCCGAAGGAGGCUUGGACUUUGGAGGCCUUUGCUGGCGUCUCUCGCCAGCUCCUCUCAAAUGAAUUAGCGGGGUCCUCUUUGCCGAUCCUCGACGUGUGAUAAGAUGUUUCCAUGUCUUGGUUUCUGGCUCUGUCGCCUUUGGGACCCGCUUCUAACCGUCUCAAGUCGAGACAACGUUUGAGCGUGUCUCCCUUCUCGGGAAACACCCUCGAGCCCACGAACCCUUGACCUCAAAUCGGGUGAGACUACCAGCUGAACUUAAGCAUAUCAAUAAGCGGAGG
RNAcentral lists this ribosomal RNA (767 nucleotides) under uncultured Lactarius. Its description in RNAcentral is "eukaryotic LSU rRNA". The stretch from base 299 to 452 matches the Rfam family "5.8S ribosomal RNA". The record is from RNAcentral. Lineage: Eukaryota; Fungi; Basidiomycota; Agaricomycetes; Russulales; Russulaceae.